AUGGAUGUUUUGGUGUCUAAUUCCCCCUUCAUUAAGCCUCACAGCAGUGUGUUUUUAAUCCAAAAAUGCUCAGAUAUUCAGUAAAGCUGCCUUAAAGCAAACACACAUAAUUACAGCUGAGAGCCCUGUAUUGGAGUGUGUGAUUGUAUAUUGCUUGUGUAGAGUGUCAAGCGUGCGUGCUGCACAUUGUGCCUGGAGAGAUUGAUGUUUUGUCAUCCACCUGCUUCUAAGCUGUAAAGGCAAGCGCAGCAAAGGCAAACCUACCCAGCUUCAAAAUCCAAACAAAGAAAUCUUAGUGGGCUGUUUACAUAUCUGUGGAAGGAUAUCUGGGCUUGUGUUGACGGGGUGCUAGAGUGGUUGAGAGAUCAGUCCCCGCACAAUGGACGAGUGGGAAAUCAAAGACUGGAAUGCUGGGGAAACUGACAGAGGGGUGAGCUCUGGAAAGGAGGACGGAUACUUCCUGUUCCUGCUGGAGUGACCCGCAGGUCUGAGGAGGAGUGAGGGAGAGGAAGGCAGAGAAAGCGAGUUUUCUUUGAAGUACCCUGUGAAACCUGCUGGUGUAAACAUACCUCUGAUUGGGACUCACUGAUGUAAUGGACAAACAAGCACAAAAUGUGUCGAUAUCCAGAUCAAAUCUCCCAGGUGAGCAAUGGCUUGGACCUGCAGAGUUAGCUGGAUGUCUCGUUCUCUUGGCUUCAGCCUGGAAAAGUGCUGAUCAUGGAAGGGGUGCUGGAGGAGCUCUCUCUUGGGCAGAUGACACUUAACUGUGUGUUCUACUUACCCGUUCGGGUCUCUCCAGCCUGAGACAGAUGACAGAUACAUCAGGUCUGGGUUCAGCUGCAGGGCCUCAGGAGAGCAAGAGGAAGCUGCUCUCAUCCUGGCCCAGUGUUGAGAAGUGUAUUGCAGGGAGAGUUUCCAGCUCCACUGGGAGCCGGCUGGUGGAUUUGCCCUGCGCUCUGGCCAUUCAGAGGACGAUGGUGUAAGAGGAACUCAGAAGGCCGAGGAUGAGAUUAAAAAAGCGAAUUUGGGCGAUAACGCUCAGACUAGAUAUAAGCUCUAGUGGUGUUGGUUGUGUUCUGGAAGACCUGAGGGACACAACGGCUACCAUGCACAUCUGCAUCCUGUAUGUGGCUGAGGGGGGUUCCCAGCUGAACUUGGCUGAGGUCAGUGUCUGGUCAAAUGGAGUCGGGCCUGUGUGUCUGUGGGGGUGCAGAUGAAGUGGUCAGCGGUGUGACAGUUAGCGGGGAUUCUGACAGCCCCAGGUCCAGUGUGGAUUAGAGAGCCUCACGGAUUUAUGAAGAAUCCAGAAAUGUGUGUCAUCAUUAUGGAAAAAGGCCUGUUCUGACUGACUAAAUGGCAGACAUUUGAAGCUGCGGGCGACACAGAUCCACUGAUUGGUGGAGUUUGGAUCAGAGCACAGGAAGAAGUCAAGCUAAGCAGUCACGAGCAAGAGAACAUUCGGCUCCUCUCUCAUCCGCCACAUACUUGACCCACAGUAACUCCGCUUUGACAGAGCAUCACAGCUUUUCUGUCUUUGUUGAAGAAGGCUGACAGAAGCUCGCUUCUGGUUACGUUUUGCGAACUGUCACUCUUCCUGAAGAUAACACCCCUGCACAGAGGCUUGGAAAUGCCAAGGUGUCGAUGUGUGCGAUGCCAGGAAAGGUCAGGAGAUGAUUUACUGAACAUUUAUGGAGGCUUUAUCUUCAAUCCUUGUCACCAAGUCGGGCGAUGCUUCAUAGUGGGUCGCCAAACAGACGUGGAAAAAGAGAGAGCGGGACAACGCCACAACCCCUGAGUUCCGCAAUGACACAGUCUUUAACCAGUCCAACUCUUGGCAGGUACAGAAUACUAAAGGACCAUUUUAUUUCUAAAUGAGUCUGGAUGGCGCACCACAAAGACUGGAAAUGCUACUGCCCUUUCAUUUUAAAUGGCUAUCGGGUUCAUCCUACACAUAAAACCCAUCACAGAAAAUGAAUAUAAGCGGUAGGAGAAGAGACUGGAGAUGUGAACUGUCCCUCUGGAACGGGCUGCCAUUAAGUUUACUAAAAAUGUCUGAUGGUUUCACCCAGACAGUUAGGAGAGCUGUGUCUAAACGGGAUCCAGAUCUCUGCAAUUAAGGACCCUGGUGGAUCCAAUCAAGAAAUCACACGAAUGGCUGAAUAUGGUGGACUUGUGAAAGAUCAGGGCAUUCAGGCUGGUGACAUUCCUCCUGGCGAGCAGAUCCAUCCUGGGCCGGGGGUGAAAAAUGCAGCACCGCGCUACUGCUCAGCUGCAGAUGAAUGGAGCUAUCUGUCUUGUCACGAGGGGUCGGCUGGAGAGGUUACAGCCCAACUGUACCUGGUCUCUGAUGCUGAUGCCUGCACGCCGCUUCCCUUUACAAGAGAAGAAACAUAAAAACAGAAGAGAGGGAGAGACAGAGAGAGGGAGAAACAAAUCCUGCCCCAUCAAGCACUUCUUCAGUCCCUCCAGAGCCCAUCUCACUUCCCAUCAUCCCGAAGUCCUGCUGCCCUGAGCGCAGGCUUUGACACAUCUAUAUGUUUUUCCUUCUGACCUUUCAACGUCCUUUCUGUCAGUGCCUGUAAACCAUAAGCUGAUGUAUGAGGGCAAUUUUUAGCGGUGCCACUUGUAUCUGAGUGAUUGCGCACACUUUACAUUUGGGGGGUCUGCCACCCUGCCACCUCCUCAACAUCUCUUUAUUUGCUUUGCUUGAUAUUGAGGCAGAGAAACUGAGGGGAAGGAAUAAAAAGAGUGGAUGGGGAGGGGACGGUGGAGCCCAUUCAACCUCUGGGCAACAGGUCUGUACUUUAUCAGUCCAGCGAGCUGAGCCCUCAGGCCAGGCCUGACCAAUCACUCCUUGGAAACAGGUACUUGAACAAACAUCAACAUCAGUGAGACAGACUCCUGUACAAAGGGUUUCAGUGGAAUACUGACUUUCACUGGAAUUCUGAUCUCACAUAUUAAUGUCUAAUCCAAAUACCUGUCAUUUCAAACAGGGGGCCUAUUUUAAAAUAUUAUUUAAAACUAUACAAGUAUCCCAAUGAUACUAAAAUGACACUGAUACAAUGGCAAUAAAAAAGUGAGGAAACAACAUGACUUUAACUGAAUAAAAAAUUAUAUUUUUCUCAUACAUUAUAAAUGUAAUUAUAUAUGUAUUUUGAAGGGAGUCCCUCACAAGGGCAUCAUCAUAUUUGUGGGUCUUUGGUAUUAAAAACUUUAAAAACCUGCUCAAAUCUGAUUGAAUGAGUGUUGUAAGACUGUACAAUAUUUUGUCACACUUUACUUUAGUUCUCUUGUUUUAACAUUGAUCUGUAACACAGUAGCUUAAUCUGUCAUGUCUGUUAAUAAAUUUUGCCAUUGCUCUCAGAAAUGUUCAAAUUCUUAUGUGUCUACAAUCUCCAAGCAGUGUCUACCAUAAUCCAAAGAAUUAACGGUGCUGUUCAUGUCCUGUGGUAGAUGCUGCAGAAAACUUGUGUGCACAAGCAUCACAGUGUCCCAUUAUCCUCGGUGUUCGCCACUGACAACAUUUUCUGGUGACAUAUGUUUACUGUCACAUCCUGAACACUUGGGUCAGCUGCCUCUCUACUCUUCUCAUCACAAACUCUGACAGCCUAACAAAGCAGUCAUUAGACAGCCUCUCAGACACGACUAGCACACCCCCUUUGCUUUAGGGAAAACUAGCAUAAUGAAAUAAAAUGCAGAGAGGACUUAGCAUCCGCCCAAAACAAACACGCACGAAACAAAACCUCCCUCAUCUCUUUCAGAUUUUCUUUUUUCUUUCCCUCCUCUGGUUCUUGAUCUCCAUAUUUAGCAUUAUGACAUUUUAAUUUGUGCAUCUUCAAAAUAGCACUGUCAGUGGUAUAAAUAUGGAGUACCACUCCUGUGAGAAAAGCCUUUAUACUUUAGUAGGUUAAAACUAAUACAAACAAAACUGGAAUUAUUAAUUAUAAAAAAGGAGAGAGAGGGAAAGAGAGAGAACGAGAGAGACGAAAUCCCCAGAUUUCAAUAUUAUUUGCAUUUCGAUUUUGAGCCUGAUUUUGAGCAACUUGACUGUUUUCCCUCCUCUUGCUUUCUCUCUAAUAUCUUGCAGGAUCAAAGGCUUUCAUUAGGUUUAACUCCUCCAAGCAUUGUUUGCCUCCCAGGACUACAACACAGUUCCCUCAGUGUGCCAGAUUCAGAAGAAUAAAGAAUUAGUUAUUCCUGGACUAAUUUGACAUCAAACAGUGGAGAGGAAGAUAAAAGUGACAAUGGUGACCGGGGAACAUUGGCCAUGUGUUUCCACAGGCCCCCAGGGCAGUCAACCUCACACUCUCGCACCUAGAAAAUACCUUUUAGAUGAAGAUGAUGGCUAAUAAUAGUAAUAAUAAUAAUAUAUAUGUAAUAAUAAUAAUAAUUGUUAUUAUUCCUGGUUAUGUUCAUGAUUGGUUGGUGUUGAGUGUUUGCACAUGUUAGUGUGAGUCACUGAUGAAUUAGUGUGGCAUUUUGAGAAAAUCAAGAUAAUUCCUGUUAAAUUUUUGUGUGUUACAUAGAGAAUUGUGUAUUUUGUUUUGCAAAAAGUGUUUAAUGGAAUUGAAAACUGGGUCAAAAGCCAAUAAUUAGUGUAUGGCUUUACAGAUUUGGUGUGUGGUUCUGGUGUUUAAGUGUCAGGUUUCAUAAAUUGUGUGACAAGUAAAGAUUUUGUGUGUAAGCAAUUUAAAAAAAAAAGAAAGAAAGAAAAGAAAAAACCUGCAGUUCGUUAAUCUAGGGAUUUAUAUGUCUGUGUGUGUGUGUGUGUGUGUGUGUGUGUGUGUGUGUGUGUGU
Long non-coding RNA from Cyprinus carpio (common carp), 4797 nucleotides. RefSeq lists it as uncharacterized. NCBI's taxonomy places the organism in Eukaryota, Metazoa, Chordata, Actinopteri, Cypriniformes, Cyprinidae. The transcript is spliced from 18 exons. The record is from RefSeq and is a predicted model, not a curated record.